Molecule: ribosomal RNA, 369 nt
Filed under: uncultured bacterium
Lineage: Bacteria
Description: bacterial SSU rRNA
Rfam family: Bacterial small subunit ribosomal RNA
Source: RNAcentral
AACGAACGCUGGCGGCGCGUCUUAAACAUGCAAGUCGAACGAUCUGUAGCAAUACGGGGAGUGGCGGACGGGUGAGGAACACGUAGGAAUCUACCUUGAAGAGCGGGACAACUUUGGGAAACCGGGGCUAAUACCGCAUAGUACAGAGAUGUUAAAGGGCUAGCAAUAGUCGCUUCGAGAUGAGCCUGCGGUCUAUCAGCUUGUUGGUGAGGUAAUAGCUCACCAAGGCUACGACGGAUAGCCGGUCUGAGAGGAUGAUCGGCCACACUGGCACUGAGACACGGGCCAGACUCCUACGGGAGGCAGCAGUUAAGAAUCUUGCGCAAUGGGGGAAACCCUGACGCAGCGACGCCGCGUGAAGGAUGAAGG